CCUACGGGGGGCAGCAGUGGGGAAUAUUGGACAAUGGGGGCAACCCUGAUCCAGCCAUGCCGCGUGUGUGAAGAAGGCCCUCGGGUUGUAAAGCACUUUCAGUGAGGAAGAACGCCUGGUGGUUAAUACCCAUCAGGAAAGACAUCACUCACAGAAGAAGCACCGGCUAACUCCGUGCCAGCAGCCGCGGUAAUACGGAGGGUGCGAGCGUUAAUCGGAAUUACUGGGCGUAAAGCGCGCGUAGGUGGCUUGAUAAGCCGGUUGUGAAAGCCCCGGGCUCAACCUGGGAACGGCAUCCGGAACUGUCAAGCUAGAGUGCAGGAGAGGAAGGUAGAAUUCCCGGUGUAGCGGUGAAAUGCGUAGAGAUCGGGAGGAAUACCAGUGGCGAAGGCGGCCUUCUGGACUGACACUGACACUGAGGUGCGAAAGCGUGGGUAGCAAACAGGAUUAGAUACCCUUGGAGUC
RNAcentral lists this ribosomal RNA (465 nucleotides) under Vreelandella stevensii. RNAcentral describes it as "partial 16S ribosomal RNA". It matches the Rfam family "Bacterial small subunit ribosomal RNA", at positions 338 to 795 of the family's 1533-position model. The record is from RNAcentral. Lineage: Bacteria; Pseudomonadati; Pseudomonadota; Gammaproteobacteria; Oceanospirillales; Halomonadaceae.